AUUGAACGCUGGCGGCAUGCUUUACACAUGCAAGUCGAACGGCAGCGCGGGGGCAACCCUGGCGGCGAGUGGCGAACGGGUGAGUAAUGCAUCGGAACGUAUCCUGUAAUGGGGGAUAACGUAGCGAAAGUUACGCUAAUACCGCAUACGCUCGAGAGAGGAAAGUGGGGGAUCGCAAGACCUCACGUUAUAGGAGCGGCCGAUGUCCGAUUAGCUAGUUGGUGGGGUAAAGGCCUACCAAGGCGACGAUCGGUAGCUGGUCUGAGGGGAUGAUCAGCCACACUGGGACUGAGACACGGCCCAGACUCCUACGGGAGGCAGCAGUGGGGAAUUUUGGACAAUGGGCGAAAGCCUGAUCCAGCCAUGCCGCGUGC
RNAcentral lists this ribosomal RNA (374 nucleotides) under uncultured bacterium. Its description in RNAcentral is "bacterial SSU rRNA". It matches the Rfam family "Bacterial small subunit ribosomal RNA", at positions 30 to 404 of the family's 1533-position model. The record is from RNAcentral.